Molecule: long non-coding RNA, 369 nt
Filed under: Gossypium barbadense (sea-island cotton)
Lineage: Eukaryota; Viridiplantae; Streptophyta; Magnoliopsida; Malvales; Malvaceae
Description: long non-coding RNA (GBAR_LNC011737)
Source: RNAcentral
AAACAUCCCCCAAGUCAACAAUCCCCCACUCCUCCUUCUGUAUUAGAUUCAUCUGGUACCUGUAAAAUCGUUUCUUCCUCUUCAUCUAGCGUUAACCCCGCAAAUUCUGCUUCCAUUCUAUUACGUCAACUAAAAUUGGCUAAAUCGACUUGCCAAAACCAAGAAUAAAAGUAAACCCAAACCCGUCGUCACACCAAAACAAAUAACCAAAAGAAAAACCCUAAAAACUACCACAGAGAGUAGACAGAAACAUGCUAGGAUAGCAGACUAAAUAAUAUUUUUUAAUUAAUAAAAUAUUUUUAAAAUAUUUAAAAUUUUAUAAAAAUAUAAAAACUUAUAAAUAAUAUAAAUUUCAAAAAAAUUAAAAAU